GCUGCUCAUUCUGCCCCUCUCAACCGUCCUUGACUACCCUGGCUGCCUAUGCCGCCCUGUCUGUGUACCAGCCUGGGUGGGCUGGUUUGCACGUCUGACCAGCAGUGUGCGGCAGGAGAAGGACCAGAAGAAGAGGGAGUGAGAUUUCGGAAGGAAACACAAUGAUUUGAAACUGGAAGGCAGCCAAUUUCUUCAGAGUAGCUGCAUCUCAAGUACAGAUAACUUUACUUGCAAGUGGAUAAUUGCAUCAAUCCAAGGAAAAGAAGUACAUCAAGAAUCAACCCUAAUUUUUACUUGAGGAGCAGAGCAUGCUGGGACAUGAUAGUUCAGAAUCAAAACUAUUUGUUCUUUGUUCCAGCGCUGUGGAGUAGCCCUCAGUGUAUUCAUUAAAGUUUGGCAAGUUUUCAUAUGGAUGCACAUCAAAAGGAUGGCUAUUGGCUCACUUGCUGGCAAGAAAGAAGAUAUGAGGAGAAGUCCAGGGUCUAUUUUACACUGCAAAUCAAUAUCUACCAUAUGGCACAGCAGACCUUCUCCAAACCUGAAAUGACUGACUUUUGGAAAUCAAAACGAUACAUAUAUUGACAGCAGGAUUAGUUCUAUCAGCAAGAACUUGUAGAUGAUAUACGAAGGGAGGAAUCGUACUCAUGUUGAGUCCGUACCAUUUUAUUUAAGGAAUCUCAAGUUGUAAUACAGCAUUAUGCAUCUUAAUCACAGGGCUAUACUCGACAAAAUGUUGUUUAAUGUGAUUCAUGCUUUGCGGGGGUGGGGGGAAGAGAAGGCACAAGGAAACAUAAGGAAGGAGAAAUGUAGUCUGUGGCUGAAGAAGCCACUGUGCUAAUUGAGUCUUGCUGCAUUUUACCACAUGUUGCUAAAAUAAACAUUUCCGAGUGCAUUUUAAGUAC
Molecule: long non-coding RNA, 902 nt
Organism: Hemicordylus capensis (graceful crag lizard)
Lineage: Eukaryota; Metazoa; Chordata; Lepidosauria; Squamata; Cordylidae
Exons: 3
Source: RefSeq, a predicted model, not a curated record